This 481-nucleotide ribosomal RNA is filed under the name uncultured bacterium. Its description in RNAcentral is "partial 16S ribosomal RNA". It matches the Rfam family "Bacterial small subunit ribosomal RNA", at positions 28 to 507 of the family's 1533-position model. The record is from RNAcentral.
GAUGAACGCUGGCGGCGUGCCUAACACAUGCAAGUCGAACGGAGAUUACGGACGGAAGUUUUCGGAUGGAAGACUGUAAUUCUUAGUGGCGGACGGGUGAGAAACGCGUGGGCAACCUGCCCUAUACAGGGGGAUAGCAGCUGGAAACGGCUGGUAAGACCGCAUAAGUCGGCGAGACCGCAUGGUUUUGCCGGGAAAUGAGCAAUCAGGUAUAGGAUGGGCCCGCGUCCGAUUAGCCAGUUGGCAGGGUAAAAGCCUACCAAAGCAACGAUCGGUAGCCGGACUGAGAGGUCGGACGGCCACAUUGGGACUGAGACACGGCCCAAACUCCUACGGGAGGCAGCAGUGGGGGAUAUUGCACAAUGGAGGAAACUCUGAUGCAGCGACGCCGCGUGAGUGAAGAAGUAUUUCGGUAUGUAAAGCUCUAUCAGCAGGGAAGAUGAUGACGGUACCUGACUAAGAAGCCCCGGCUAACUACGUG